AGCAGCCGCGGUAAUUCCAGCUCCAAUAGCGUAUAUUAAAGUUGUUGCAGUUAAAAAGCUCGUAGUUGAAUUUCGGGAUUAGUAGGUUGGUCGUGCCUCUGGUAUGUACUCGCCUUACUGGUUUCUCCUUCUUGAAGAACUGUAAUGCCAUUAAUUUGGUGUUGCAGGGACACAGGACUGUUACUUUGAAAAAUUAGAGUGUUUAAAGCAGGCUAACGCUUGAAUACAUUAGCAUGGAAUAAUGAAAUAGGACGAUCGAUCCUAUUUUGUUGGUUUCUAGGAUUGACGUAAUGAUUAAUAGGGAUAGUUGGGGGCAUUAGUAUUCAAUUGUCAGAGGUGAAAUUCUUGGAUUUAUUGAAGACUAACUACUGCGAAAGCAUUUGCCAAGGAUGUUUUCAUUAAUCAAGAACGAAAGUUAGGGGAUCGAAGACGAUCAGAUACCGUCGUAGUCUUAACCAUAAACUAUGCCGACUAGGGA
RNAcentral lists this ribosomal RNA (478 nucleotides) under uncultured Glomus. Its description in RNAcentral is "SSU rRNA". It matches the Rfam family "Eukaryotic small subunit ribosomal RNA", at positions 569 to 1052 of the family's 1831-position model. The record is from RNAcentral. Lineage: Eukaryota; Fungi; Glomeromycota; Glomeromycetes; Glomerales; Glomeraceae.